Molecule: non-coding RNA, 110 nt
Organism: Acanthosepion pharaonis
Lineage: Eukaryota; Metazoa; Mollusca; Cephalopoda; Sepiida; Sepiidae
Source: the annotation of a GenBank genome assembly
GGCCACAUCAUGUUGAAACACCAGUUCUCAUAUGAUUACCAAAGUUAAGCAAUGCCAAGCUUAGUCAGUACCUAGAUAAGUGACUGUUUGGGAAUAUCAGGUGCUGUAAG